GAUCUCCAGUUGUCACUGAUGAUUGCCAUUUGGACCUUUGUGGAUUACAAUCUGCCAUCAAAAUUAUGUUUAAUUAUUCCAGCUGCUGUGAGAAAAGGCUACAAAUGAUUUGCCAUCCUCACAUAAUAUAGCCUACUAGCUGCGACUCGUUCUUCAUAUAAACAGACGUGGCAUAAUGACGCAAAGAUGAACAGUAAGGAAGGUGAGAAAAGGAAAAAAAAAUACAUCAAAGAACAGCCGCCUACAUGCACUUUUAACAAGCAGGAUUCCAGAAACAAAAGCAGUAAACAGUGUCCUGACAGUACAGACUUCUUUUCACUAUCAAUGGAGCUGAUAGAAGGAGCAGUCAGACUGACGGACGACGACAGAAGGAAAUACGUCGAGGAACACAUACCAGCACGUAACAUAUCUGCAAUCUCUUUGUACAGUCAUGUUCCAUAAACAACAUUAUCAUCUCACUCUCACACCAUCGGCCUGAUGUCUGCACUUGAUUCAUUGAAUGUCAUUUAUUGAUCUUUAUAUGAUAUGGUACAGUACACAAUGUUAGAUUACAUUACACUUGACUCAUCAUUGGGCAUGAUCAUGAUAUACAUAAUGAGAGGUUGUACAAUACUCAAUCAAUUGCCUAAUUGCAUGAUAGGCCUGAGACAAUUAACGAAACUGCCUUAUGAUACCGAGAUAAAUGCUUUGGAUCAAAAUAAGGAAAUUAGAAAACCUGUUCAACAACUCCAUAUCUCUACAGUUAGAAGGACAUCUUGAAUUGGAAAUACUUUGCACUCCAUCUGUAUUUACCUUGCGCACAGCUCCAUAAUGACAUCUAUGCUAAACACACUAACCAUCAUGGUUAUUUUAGAUUUAUUGUGGUUAUUUUAAUUCCUAUAGGCCUAUUUAUUUGAAAAAAUGUUAACACUUCUUGAGUGUUAAAAAUUACGUUACAUACAUGUUUGUGUUAAAACUGAUAUAAAUAACUUUCAUGCUAUAAAUAUUGAAAUGAUUUAAGUUUAUUUCAAUCCUUCUUUAGAUUAUCAAAGUGUUAAACAUGCAAUAUUUCACAUUUGUGUUGGCAUUUAUACGACAUUUACAUAUCAUCUCAUAGGACAAGAACAGUGUUUUUUUGUUUUUGUUUUUUUGCCAUUUUCUUUGCUAAAGUGAGUGUAUAUGGUAUUUACAGCUUGGAUGCAUCAGUGGUGAUUAACCAAAUCUUUUCUUCUUUUCUUUUCUCUCUAUGGGCCUCAUUUUGAAACUUUCAUAAAUAUAUGAGUAAAUUUAAUUUAUGCAUAAAAUGGACCUUCCUGAAAACUCACUUCUGGAUUCACAAACACUUCGUAAACUUCAUAUUUGAUAGCUAAAGGGUUAGUUUACCCAAAAAAUUAUGUCAUAAAUAUGUUUUUUGGUAGCUUUCUGGGCUCUGGAAAUGGAGCCAUUGGAUUUUAUCAAAAAUAUCUUAAUUUGUGUUCUGAAGAUGAACAAAGGUCUUACAGGUGUGGAACAACAUGAGGGUGAGUAAUUAAUGACAGAAUUUUCAUUUUUGGGUGAACUGACCCUUUAAACGUGUGUGUUCAUGAAUUACGACCAUUUCCAGAAACUUUGGGACAUUUUGUAAAAUGCAAUAAAAUCAAGAAUCGGUGAUUUGUUAAUUCUCUUGAUUUAACUGACAAAAGUACAAAGAAAAGAUUUCCAACUGAUUUCACUGACCAACUUUGGGACCAUUUUUUUAAAU
This is a long non-coding RNA of Megalobrama amblycephala (Wuchang bream), 1720 nucleotides long. RefSeq lists it as uncharacterized. The transcript has 3 exons. NCBI's taxonomy places the organism in Eukaryota, Metazoa, Chordata, Actinopteri, Cypriniformes, Xenocyprididae. The record is from RefSeq and is a predicted model, not a curated record.